RNAcentral lists this ribosomal RNA (326 nucleotides) under Finegoldia magna. RNAcentral describes it as "bacterial SSU rRNA". It matches the Rfam family "Bacterial small subunit ribosomal RNA", at positions 470 to 796 of the family's 1533-position model. The record is from RNAcentral. Lineage: Bacteria; Bacillati; Bacillota; Tissierellia; Tissierellales; Peptoniphilaceae.
UGACAGUACCAUAUCAGAAAGCUCCGGCUAAAUACGUGCCAGCAGCCGCGGUAAUACGUAUGGAGCGAGCGUUAUCCGGAAUUAUUGGGCGUAAAGCGCGCGUAGGCGGUUUAAUAAGUCGAAUGUUAAAGAUCGGGGCUCAACCCCGUAAAGCAUUGGAAACUGAUAAACUUGAGUAGAGAAGAGGAAAGUGGAAUUCCAUGUGUAGCGGUGAAAUGCGCAGAGAUAUGGAGGAACACCAGUAGCGAAGGCGACUUUCUGGACACAAACUGACGCUGAGGUACGAAAGCGUGGGGAGCAAACAGGAUUAGAUACCCCGGUAGUCC